UUCAUUGUUGGUCGAACGUCUCCAGCGAAGCUUUCGAUGACCAGCAAAGGUAAUGUUUCUUCCACAUAACACAAAUGUUCGUUGAUUGUUGAUUAAUGACUUUAUGUAUGAUUUGCUUUCAAUUUAAUUGAUUGGUUUCGUGCAUUGAGGCCAUUUGGAGUAUCAUUGAGUUCUCUUUUUUUCCUCCCCAGCGGUGGUUGUCUUCUUCUCACCUUUUAUAGCGACACUUGUCUAUUCCCUCACUCCCACAAUUAGUUUCAUUUUUGGUUUCUUAUGUAUAUUUGUCAUUGCAUUUUCAUUGAUUGUGCGCAUUUUCUUCAUUGUAGGUCGAACGUCUCUAGGGAAGGUG
RNAcentral lists this long non-coding RNA (349 nucleotides) under Vigna radiata. RNAcentral's name for it is "long non-coding RNA (VRAD_LNC006954)". Lineage: Eukaryota; Viridiplantae; Streptophyta; Magnoliopsida; Fabales; Fabaceae. The record is from RNAcentral.